CGGGAUGUAGCUCAGCCUGGUAGAGCACCGCGUUUGGGACGCGGGGGUCGUCGGUUCGAAUCCGGCCAUCCCGA
This 74-nucleotide transfer RNA is filed under the name Solirubrobacterales bacterium. Its description in RNAcentral is "tRNA-Pro". It matches the Rfam family "tRNA". From Rfam's summary of the family: Transfer RNA (tRNA) molecules are approximately 80 nucleotides in length. Their secondary structure includes four short double-helical elements and three loops (D, anti-codon, and T loops). Further hydrogen bonds mediate the characteristic L-shaped molecular structure. tRNAs have two regions of fundamental functional importance: the anti-codon, which is responsible for specific mRNA codon recognition, and the 3' end, to which the tRNAs corresponding amino acid is attached (by aminoacyl-tRNA synthetases). tRNAs cope with the degeneracy of the genetic code in two manners: having more than one tRNA (with a specific anti-codon) for a particular amino acid; and 'wobble' base-pairing, i.e. permitting non-standard base-pairing at the 3rd anti-codon position. Lineage: Bacteria; Bacillati; Actinomycetota; Thermoleophilia; Solirubrobacterales. RNAcentral also lists the same sequence under 4 other names. The record is from RNAcentral.